CCUACGGGAGGCUGCAGUGGGGAAUAUUGCACAAUGGGGGAAACCCUGAUGCAGCAACGCCGCGUGAGUGAAGAAGUAUUUCGGUCUGUAAAGCUCUAUCAGCAGGGAAGAAGAUGACGGUACCUGAGUAAGAAGCCCCGGCUAACUACGUGCCAGCAGCCGCGGUAAUACGUAGGGGGCAAGCGUUAUCCGGAUUUACUGGUUGUAAGGGUACCGUAGACGGCUGGGCAAUUCUGAAGUGAAAGCCCGGGCCUCACCCCCGGGACGGCUUUGGAAACUGUGUAGCUAGAGUGCUGGAGAGGCAAGCGGAAUUCCUAGUGUAGCGGUGAAAUGCGUAGAUAUUAGGAAGAACACCAGUGGCGAAGGCGGCUUGCUGGACAGUAACUGACGUUGAGGCUCGAAAGCGUGGGGAGCGAACAGGAUGAGAUACCCGAGGAGUC
Molecule: ribosomal RNA, 440 nt
Filed under: uncultured bacterium
Lineage: Bacteria
Description: partial 16S ribosomal RNA
Rfam family: Bacterial small subunit ribosomal RNA
Source: RNAcentral